This 302-nucleotide long non-coding RNA is filed under the name Homo sapiens (human). RNAcentral's name for it is "HSALNT0105411". Lineage: Eukaryota; Metazoa; Chordata; Mammalia; Primates; Hominidae. The record is from RNAcentral.
CAGUGAUGGACUGGAUCAGCUUGAAAGAAGCACAAAGACUCCGUGAUCACAAUAGUCAAAGACUGGCUUUGGAACACAGUACCAAGUAAUUCACAGAAAAAGUUUUUUGGCUGCAGGAUUAAGUAAUGAUGAGUCUUCCCUUUCAACUGUUGUUAAAUCUGAGACAUCCUGACUCUCGAGCUGGGAAGAUGAAAGAAACUCUAUUAUAUAUUUGGCCUACUUUCCAGGCUUGGGCAAAGUAAGAAGACAUCAUCCUUAUCACAAAACAACAAAUCCAUUUAUUGAGUAGUUUUUCAGUUCUA